UUGGACGCAGGCAGCAGCCGAGCCGGACAGCCUCCUCCGGAGAGAACACCUUAGAAGGCUCUGCCUCUCCUUUGCUCUCUACAAGCUGCUGCGCCGGAGGUUCGAGGACAUCCCCACAACAAGAGAGGAGACCCGGAACUGCCGGAACCUCAUCUUCAAGGGCUUGUUGAAGGAGCAAGAAGGUGCCGAGGUCGCACUGUUCCAAGUCUUCAACGAUGAGACCCAGUUCGUUUGCGAGUACUACCAUUCCGUCCUACCCGUCGUCUUGUCCGACCCUUUCUUCUUCCUGGUCAACUACAUCCUGUUUCCCAUUGUAGUUUCUGCCUUCUGCCUCCUAACACUGAUCAUCUGCGGCAAUGGGAGCGUCCGCUACGCCUACCAGAGCAUCACAAGUGACAACUACAUCAUAUACACUGGCGCGACGACGCUGACCAGAUGCCUCCUGAGAAACAUCGCCCAUUCACCCGAGGUGCUGUUCGCCAGCAUCGACCUAGGCACCACCACUCUGCUCAUCCUGGCCUUCGUCUACGAGGAAGUCGUGGAGGUCCUCGUCUUUAUCCUCUCCAAUUGGCUCAUCGUGUCGCUCCUCUGUCAGUACACCGCCAAGCGCCACUGGCGGCAGAGCCGCAUGGUAUGUUGGCUCAUCCGCGGCAUCCUGUGGGUGCGAAGCAUGCUAAGCCACCCUAACCUCAGCUUCAAGCAGCUCUCCGUGCUAAGGUUCUUCCAACUGUCGUCGCCUUCGCCGAUCAUGGUGCCAACCAAGGCAGUGCCCAAGGAAGUGAUGGAGUCGAUCGUGGAUUAUCUGGUGGUUCACUUGGAUGUCUACGGCAUCGAUGGCCAUGACGACCCUCUCAAUUCGGCCUGGUCCUCCACACUGCAACAGGAGAAGCACAGGGCAUACCGUCCCCUGCUCUUGCCGGUGUGUGAGAGCAAGAGCAUCGCUGAGUUCAUCCUCACCUGUCACAUUGCCACCGCCCUAAUGGAGGUGAGGUACCCGCAGGACGAAAAGGAAAUGGGAUCUCAUCGCAAGGUGGCGACGACGCUGUCCAAGUACUGCACUUACUUGGUGGGCUUUUACCCAGGGCUUCUUCCGGACGACAAGAAUGGGACAAAGCACACUUACAAGAAGAUGAAGGAGGACAUGAACAAGGAGCUUGGAGGGUGCUGGUGGUACCACCUGUCGCUGCAGGGAACCAGGUACAAGAGGCUGAUGGAGAUCGGCGAAUCGAAGCAGAAGGCCGUGACAAUGGUGCGCAACGGGGCCAGGUUAGGGACAGCACUGAUCGAGAAGGCCGAGGAGAACAACGAGGCGCGUGAUCGCGUGUGGGAGCUGCUGAACGACCUUUGGACGGAGGUCAUGGUGUAUGUGGCGCCGUCGGCCGGCGACCUCCACGUGAAAGCCCACAAGGAGGCGCUGGCGCGCGGCGGUGAGUUCAUCACCGUGCUUUGGGUGCUGUGUACGCACACCGGCAUGACCAGGCCAGCCCUCGCACCGUGGGAGGUAGCACGUCAUGCGUUUGAACCAUAGAGCAUUAUUGGCUUCCCGUGUGUGCCGAUCUUUCGAGGACAGCUUGCUUGGGAUGGUUCAUCUCACAUGCUCCAUUCCGCUACUAACGCUAACAUUAGUACCGCGUCAUAAUGUGACCGGUACUAAGGGAGUGGACGAAAGAUAUAUUAAAAAUAGAUAUAUAGCCACCCGUUGUGAAUGCAUGGGUUGAUGCCAGUAAUUCCUAGAAAACGAGGCCAACCACAACCUCUUCAUCCACUUCUCCGACGUGAGCGCACAAUUCUCAACACUAGUAAGAAACAGAGCUUUAGUCCCGGUUUUUUAGUCCCGGUUGGUAAGGAUCAUAGAUCCCAAAAAUCCAAUCGAGACUAACUAUUCAAGGCUAAAUGACUCCUUUAGUCCCGGGUCAUUCACCUGGGACUAAAGGUGCCCUUUAGUUCCGGUUGGUGUUACCAAGCGAGACUAAAAAAAUUCCAAAAAAAAUAAAAAAAGCCAUCCGCGCCCGCCGCCCGCCUGCCUCCCACGGCCGCGCUGGCCUCAUGCUGCCCGCCCGCGCCCACGCCGACCACGUGCUACGACCCGCCCGCACCCACCCGACCGACCGCCCGCGUCGGAGCAUGGAAGAAAGGGAGAGGAGGAAGAAGAAGAGAUAAGGUGGAGAGGCCCUGCGUGGGAGAUAAGAAAGGGAGGGGAGGAGAUAAGUGGAGAGAAAGGGAGGCGACGAGAUUUUGUCUUGGUUGGAAUUUCCAACCGCGACAAAAGAUUUACUUCCGGUUGGAAUUUCCAACCGGGAUAAGGGUGGCGUCGAUGUCAGAUUUUUUAGCUGUUAGAACCAAGCCUACAACCGUGACUAAAGCCCCUUCAGUCGGUGGCCUUUGGUGCCUCAUACCUGGGACUAAAGUCACUUUAGUUCCGAGUCCAAAGUCAACCAAGAUAAAAGCAUCAAGAUGGAAGGUCAGUUCUCUAGUAUUGCAAGCCUAGUGUCUGCCACCUCCUCUCCACCAACAUGUCCCUCUUUCUGCAUGUAACACUUUCACACAUGCAUGUAACUUGAUUAAUCUUCUCAUGCGUGUUCACAACAAACGCAUGGAUGAAAAACAUGUCAAGAUUAAUUUCCAACACUUUUUUCUUCUAUAGAUAGUUUCCACUAAGUGGUUCACCACAUAAUAAAAUUUAGAUACUUGUCUCUGCAUAUCAUCGAUCAAUGUUGUUAGAGGGAUACAACAUUAUCAUUGUGUACAUCAUAUCAAUGACCGAACUUCAACUAUUAUAGAUACUGUUAUACUGUUAGCAAUGCAUAUAUCUCAAAUAUUAUUGCUUCUCUUUAAUUAGCUAAAGAAUAGGAUGCUAGAAUGAAAACGUCAAAAGAAAAAACAUAAUGAUGAAGGCAUCAGGUCCUCUCUUUUGGGGGCCAAGAUUCCUGCUGAUAUUGAUAACAAAAGAAGGAUACCAUGGGUUCUCUCCCAUUUGGAACUAUAUGUGACAAAAGUUAUGCCAGUACCUUAAAUGCUAAGGCUUGCUCAUCUUUUGAAUUUUUGUUCUUUGGCGGCCCCUGUCAUUUGAGCCUUUUGAUAAAGUAAAGGAGAGGAGAAUAAGCGCUAAAGGAAAGACCAACUGCUAUGGUGUUACCCGAACACCAUUGGCGGCAUCUUUCGAUUUACAGUACAUGCAGGCACGCCAAUACUCUCCUUCAAUCGUGUGCUUGCAGAACCUAUGAAAACGAUGCUCAUGCUUUGCAAGGGCACGGAAAUUUCGACUCAGAACGUGUCCAGAGGAAAUGGGCCCACUCGUAUGAUUCAUGGGAACAUGAACAAACAGAGACGUUCAGAUUCAGAAGUAUGGAAUUUGCAAGUCCCCGCAACCCACCGCCCCCACGUUGCUCCCGCAUGAGUGACACUGGUGGACGAAACCCUCGCCGCUGCCGCCCCUUCCUCCCUCUCCCCACCGCUGUGCCACCGCCCAAGCCGGCCGCUGAAAGCCUACGCGUCUCAUGAGGACGGCGGCGGUGGGGCGGCCUGCUUCUCCCCUUGAUCUCCUGGUGGGCGUGGCCGCUGUGGAGGUCAGAGGGAGUCGCCCGUAGGGCGACACACGGCCGUGACAGCGAGGCCGGAUCCGGGGCCCCUGUGGCCGGAUCCGGGGCCCUCGAUGCCGGAUCUGUCUCCAAGUGCGGUGGCGGUGGCUUCCCCCACGCGGGGCAGUGGUCACCCUGCCCGGUGCGGAAGCUGCACGAGCGGUGUGCGCCAGGGUGGAUGCCGCGCGGUGGCGGCUGCGUGGGCCAAGGCUGAGCAAGGGGCGAAGUGGGCGGCCGCGGUCCUAUGGCAAGGUGGGGUCAACGUGCAGGCCUCCUUCGAUGACUACCUCCAGGACCGCACCAUGUUCCCCGACGAGAGCAAGAGCCAGCGGAUCAGUGAUGGGGAGUGGCGGGUCCAGAUGCUGCUGCUGCAAUUCCUCCUCGUCACAGUGCGCCCUGUGGUCAUCAUGCAGCUGCAACACCGCACUGGUGGGCUCGACCCCAGUGGCGACAUCUGCAGUCCUCGGCGGUGAGCUCCUAGGGAGCGGUGACAGUGUGAAGGCGACAACGGCGAUCUGGGUGGUGCGGCGGUGGUCCCGAUGCGAGGCAAAGAAGGCACAUGGUAGCAGGGGCCGCUAGGAGGUGGGGACACGGAGGAGGCGCCGAAGGACAAGACGAGGAGGAGGUGUCGGGCAUACACCUCAGGGCCACGAGUAGGCCUUGUACGGCCCACCCAGGGGCGUACUCGGACAUGAGCAGGAGUUGGAAGCUAUGUCACAGGGUAACGUAGCCUACACGGACUACUGAAGACUAGUCUUGGUGCAUAAGGAAACUACUCUACCUAGUUGGAGUAGGACUCUGUAAUCAUAAUCGACUAGGAUUCCACCCUGUAACCCUGCUCCCCCGAUAUAUAAGGGUAGGCAGGGACCCCCUCCAAAGAACCAACUCAUACGCAAUACAAACAUCACACAAGACGUAGGGUAUUACGCGUUCUAGCGGCCCAAACCUGUCUAAAUCGUGUGCCUUGCAUCACCAUCAACUCCUUGAUUCUCGACGUCUCCACCACACAAAAUACCUCCUAGAGGACUCCCUAAGCGGGUUGCCGGUCUAAAACACCAACAGCUGGCGCACCAGGUAGGGGAAGUCGCCGAGUUUCUUAGCGCGAGAUCGAUGGCACCAAUUGUCAUCAAGCCAGCGCUCGCUUUCAAAGCAGGCGCAACUUUCAUCUUCGACUCCUGGCUUUGCAUCACCAACGGCGCCGGAUCCUUCCAGUGCUACCUCAUCGACAACCGGGAGAAAGAGCAUCUCAACGAAAACCCUCUUCGUAAAGAAGCAGACAGCCUCAUCGAGAAAAUCGACAAAUUCAAUCUCAGAUCAAGAUUCGACUACAACUCGAAGUCCAACGACGACUCCGAGUUCGACUACAACUCGAAGUCUGACUAUGACUCCAUUUUUAGUUUCGAGUUCAACCCCAACUUGGGGUCCAACUACAACUCCAAAUCAUAUCCAGGUCAAACUCCAUUCGGACUCCACAACGCAGCCACGGUCCAUCACUCCUUACUCGAAUCCAAUUCGGACUAGAGUCGAAGGAAGACUAUGCUACGACUCGGAUACACCCGAAGAGUUCAUCAGCAACUGCCACAGCUUCGUCGAUGACGACUUCCACGGGCGGCUCGCCGGUGACUUCUCCGACUACGUCGCGGCGCUCACUUAUGACUAUGGGCGGCUUGCUAACAAUUUCUUGGACUAUGUCAUGGUACUCGCCGACGACUACUUCAACAGGUGGCUCACCGGUGACUUCUCUGACUACGUCGUGGUGCUCACUGAUGAGUACGGGCGGCUCACCGACAAUUUCUCAGACUACGUCAUGGCACUCACCGACGACUACUUCGCUUGGCGACACACCGACGAAAACUUUGUCUGCUCACUGACGACUUCUCCGACUACGACACAGCGCUGGCUGACGACUAUGGGCGGCUCGCCGAUGAUUUCUCGGACUACAUCGUGGCACUCGACGACGGCUACUUCGACGGACGGCUCCCCGACGACUAAUCCGACUUUGCGACGUCCCUCGGCGACCCACCGAUGACUACUUCAACUUCGCGCGGGCGCUCGACAACUCGUUGAUGGCUACUUCGCUCGGCGCACACCAACGAAUACUUCGACUGCUCACCGACGACUUCUUCGACUACGUUGCGAUGCUCGUCAACGACUACUUCGACGGGUGACUCGCUAGUGACUACGUCGACUACUUGUCCCGACUAGAAAACUAGUCGGGGCAGAUUUCGCACCAUCAACGACUGGUCGGAACCGACUCCGACUAGUCAGCUUCGUCAACAACCGUCAUGGUUUCAUUGACGACCACCUUGGCUUCAUCGACAAUCAUCGACGAAUCAAGCUAAGUCUCUUUUCUGACAAUUUCCUAGCUUGAUUUCCUCUUGCGCACAAUACGCGCUCUACUCGCUAGAGGGCAGCAAACUCUCGCGCACAACACGCACUCUACUCACCGGAGGGCAGCAAAACUCUUGUGCAAUCGUGCUUGCUUUUUGUCGCAGCAGCGACUACUCACUUUUGUCUUCUCUUAAGAUCACUACUCUUCUCAAGAUGAACUUGCCUUGACACGUGAACGCCUCAGGUGCACCUGUGACGCCAAAUGCUAGCACACAUACACGAGACCACGCUCUUAGUUGUGCACAUAGCAAUGCCCAUACAUGUAUAUGAGACAACGCUCUCACACAUGCAAUGGCUACGGCUAAAUGGGGACUAAGAGCCUAAACGUAAUAGGCUAAAUGCUCGAGAAGAAUAUGAUCAAAAUAAGAGCAUGACACACAAUAUUUCAUAUUGAUCACUGAAUAACUUUCAGUAGUUUCAAUAUUCUACAAAAAUGCUACAUAUUGUACGCAUCUUUUCUUUCAAGUCAAACUUUGGCGAUGACGCUCGUCGUGUCACUAAGCAUGCCUCUAACGGCAUAGACUAGUUCCCGAACUCGGGGACUAAGCACCAAUCACUACUCGGGAUAUCUCUAGUGACUCAGCUAGCUCCUAGGCUCGGGGGCUAGACGCCGCAAAACUACUCGAUGUGGCUCCUACGGCUCGCCCAGCGCAUAAGCUCGGGGGCUGGAUGCCGCAAAACUACUCGGAUGAUGACUUACGCAGAGAUUCAAGAUCCUUGAGAUGAUUAUUCAAUCAAUUCAAGGCUCGAGGGCUGAUAAGCUACACCCAUCAGUUGAUUUUUUGUCAAGCCGGAAGAAAAAGUUUCAAGAUUUUGACCCUCAGCCUGAUUCUACGAGUCAACCUAAGGCUCAGGGGCUCCUCCAUAUGGAGUGUGAUUGUCAUCGCACUAUCAUAUAAAGAUUCAAGACAAAGGCUACUUGAAGCAACGUUACGCAAAGCAGAGAGUACCUUCCAGCCAUGUGACAGUACUCGGUUACUCGAAGGCUAGCCACCACGAGAAGCGCUCAAAAAGCACCAGAUAGUACUCGGGCAACCUCUUCAAGUACUCUGAGCUGUUCCACUCGACUACAAAGUACUCGGGGGCUUGUCAGGCAUACAUCCCCAGCCCCACGAGUAGGCCUUGUACGGCCCACCUAGGGGCAUAGUCGGACGUGAUCAAUACUUGGAGGCUACGUCAUAGGGUAACAUAGCCUAAACGGACUCCUGAAGACUAGUCACGGUGCAUAAGGAAACUAUUCUACCCAGUUGGAGUAAGACUCUGUAAUCGUACUCGACGAGGAUUCCACCCUGUAACUCUGCUCCCCCGAUAUAUAAAGGCGGACAGGGACCCCUUCCAAAGAACCAACUCAUAAGCAAUACAAGCAUCAUACAGGAUGUAGGGUAUUACGCGAUCUAGCGGCCCAAACCUAUCUAAAUCGUGUGCCUUACGUGACCAUCGACUUCUUGAUUCUCGACAUCCCCACCGCACAAAAGACCUCAUAGGGGACUCCCUAGGUGGGUUAUCAGUCUAAAACACCGAUAGGAGGUGCGAUGGACAAUAGUGACCCAUCUAGAAGAGCUGCAUGGAGAGGAUGCCGGUGCAGAGGACGGCAACGUGGAGAUGGUCGUGCAAGCGAUGAGGAGCGGAGCGGCGGCUCGAAUGCCACGAGGCCAUUCUGGUGCCGCGGGAACCACUCACAUGCUGACGUUGUGGUGGUGUGAGGAUCUACGCUGGUGGUAGUGGGGGCCAUUGUCGCAGAAAGCUUUGUGUUUGCGCACAUGGUACAACUGAGAUUAUGACGGCGGCAAGGUGGAGGUGAAGUUAUUAGAGUAGCUCGGUGGGACCAUGUCACCCUGAUGGAAAAUCAUGUCUGGAUCCUUGGUAUGGAGUCCAGCGGUGGAAGUGGUGAGAUCCCCGUUUGCUUUAAGGUGAUGUGUACGAGGAGUUGUGUGUGGCGGUGAAUGUGGCUAGAACCCCACACAUUUUGAGUUGCCUUGGAGGGCCAGGAUCCGGUGCAGUGUUUUGAUGGUUGGUGUGUACGGUGCGAUAGCAGUGCUUCGGCGUUGGGUCCUGCAGUGCGGUGGUCGUUUCAGUGUGGUGCAGUGUGCUCCUCCUUUGACUUAUGCUAAUACAAAGCCGUGGAUUGGGAGAUCGAUGACCGUGUGUGUGUGACCUGAGGACGACGACGACAUGGUAGAGAAGCCCUAGUAGCUACACGACUUGCAGCGGACUGCGACGGCCAGUCCUACGUGGCUUCGGCUGGUUUGGCUGGGACAUCGUCGGGGACGAUGGCGCUAGCGAUGAGGGCUACUUGGCGGCUUUUCCUGCUCAGUGGUGGUGGCAUGGUGGUCGCUGCUAGCUCAAGCGUUAGCGUUGAGUGGCUUUGCGUCGACGACCACCCAUAGAGUUCUUUUUUUGUUUUGAGUUGAGUCGGCAUUAUCUGUUGGGAGCUACUUCGGUGGCUCUGUUGUUAUACCCAGUCUAGGAUCUUUCUUCUUUUUAAAUAAUCGACAGCUCUCCUGCCUGGUUUGUUUGAAAAAAAUUCAAAAAUACGGUUGGAUGUAAGAUUAACGAGUUAAUCUUCAUGUAGCAUGUACAUAGACAUGUAACCAAGAAACACAAACUUUUUUACAACGGAACUCAAGUGUAUUUGAGUUGUACAGGCAGAGAUAUGACUAUAGAAAUUGGGGAAGCAGCACUUUGCAUGUAAUAUAGGGUUGAAUAAAUCACCUCUACCGUGGUUUAUACGUCAGUACUGUACAACAAAACCUGGCCACCAUCCCUAAAUUACAUGAUAAAAACUCUAUCAUCUACAACCAACAACUCUAGGUACGGUAGUUGUACACAUUACACGAUAUUGGUACGUAUGUUUAACUUGACCUGAAUGCAUAUGUUUAACCUUGGAGAAGAUAGUCCGAUUCAACCCUUAGAAAUCCUUUAAGAGAUGUGUCCAUGUUAAUCUUGCUACUACUAAUUGGAGAUACCGGAGGAUUCUCAAGUUAAGACGCAUGGGCGGCCGUGCUAGAAAAAAUAAGAUCUCAAAAACUCAUGAAAACAGAAAUUGCACCUCAUCACAAGGUGGACACGGUGCCCUACUGCAGCCCAAGCAACUACUACACUUGCAUUGGUGUUCUUUUCAGACAGUGCUCGCUGCAGGACAAAACGCUGACAGAGAUUUGUUGUUGCCAUUCUAGAAUCGUUUUAGCUGUGGCUUCGUUUCAUUCAGGAUUAAUUUGCAAAAAAAAUGUAUUUUCAGUGGAAAAUAAUGUAACCAGAUUGGCUCGAUUGCCCCAGAAAGAUAUAAUAACUCCAUGCAGUAACAUAUACAUGGUCAUACUUUAAUUAUUGUGCGUACAGUUGUACUACAGCAAGGCAUAUAUCUUAGCUGUCUCUUCGCUUUAACUAAAGAAUUGGAUGCUAGGAUGAAAGAUCCAUGGUUUGGGGCCACUAUUACUAGCUUUCUGCUGAUAUUGAUAACGAACGUAGGAUGGCAUGGGUUCCCUCCCUUUCUACAAAUGGGAGAGAACCCUGGUAUCCUUCUUUCGCUAUCAAUAUCAGCAGGAAUCUUGGCCCCAAAAGAGAGGACCUAAUGCCUUCAUCAUUAUGUUUUUCUUUUGACGCUUUCAUUCUAGCAUCGAUCCUAUUCUUUAGCUAAAGCGAAGCAAUAUUUGAGAUAUAUGCAUUGCUACAGUAUCUAUAAUAAUUGAAGUUCGAUCGUUGAUGUACACAGUAAUGUUAUAUUCCUCUAACAACAUUGAUCGAUGAUAUGCAGAGACAAGUAUCUAAAUUUUAGCUCCAAGUAAGUUUUAACCAAAAGUUUAUCUUAAGGGGUUCCACGACCCAAAUCUGUACUCCCCUAAAAAUAAACUUCAAUGGUAGUCCGACGGACUAUAGGGCCACCUGAUUAAACCUAUGAUUAACGACCAACAUAUCUAUCACUUACUCUCACUAUUUCCUUAUUAUUUGGUGAACCGCUUAGUGGAAACAAUCUAUAGAAGAAAAAUGUGUUGGAAACUAAUCUUGACAUGUUUUUCAUCCAUGCGUUAGUUGUGAACGCGCAUGAGAAGAUUAAUCAAGCUACAUGCAUGUGUGAAAGGGUUACAUGCAUGUGUGUGAAUGCAGUGCAUGCAUGCGCGUAUGGAGAAGACUAGGAUCUGCAUGCAUAUGGAAGCUUAGGGAGUUAUGUGUUACUCAAAGAGUCUCUAGACAAUGUGAAUCGAACGUGUCUUGGUACACUGGUAGAAAACUGAGUAUUAGUCCCAGUUGGAACGUUGCAAAUCUCCCAAAAAACCAUCCGGGAUAAAGCAAUCGAGAUAAAAGGGGGUGUCUUUUAUCCCAGGUCCCUCAACCGGGACUAAAGACACCCUUUAGUCCCAGUUGGUAAUACCAACCAGGACUAAAUGGUUUUGCAAAAAAAAUUAAAAAAUAAAUAAAUUCCUGUGGGGUCCUAGGGAGGCCUCCCCGCGACAAGCCACAAGUCAUGCGAUUUUCACGCGAAAUAUGCGCAUGCGCGGCUCGUGGGAUUCGAACCCACGACCUCAAGCCUCGCGCGUAGCUUCCUUGCCAUCCAACCUACACAUCAUAUCUAACUAUAUAGGGGAUCCAAUCCUUUUAUACUAACUUGUGGGGAACCCUUUAAUCCCGGUUGGAGAUACCAAACGGGAUAAAAGACCCCCUUUUAUCCCGGUUUGCAUUACAAACUGAGAUAAAAGGGUCUGGAACAUUUAUUCCUUCCCCGGAGCACAUGUGGGGGACCAUUUUAUCCCAGUUGGAAACACCAACCGGGAUAAAAGACCCUAUUUUAUUCCGGUUGGUAUUACAAACCGGGAUAAAAGGGUCCGAGGCCUUUAGUUCCUUUUCAGCCACCCGUGAGGGACCCUUUUAUCCCGGUUGGAGUUUCCAACCGGGAUAAAAGACCCCAUUUUAUCCCGUUGGUGUUGUGAGCUUUAGUCCCGGAUGAUAACACCAACCGGGAUUAAAAGGGUGACCUUUAGUCCUGGUUAUUCUUACCAUCCGGGACAAAAGGGUCCCCCACAGGUAGCUAAUUUUUUCACCCGGGACUAAAGGGUCCCCCACGGGUGGCUGAUUUUUGAACUGGGACAAAAGGUAACUUUUAGUUCCGGUUGCAAAUACCAACCGGGAGUAAAGCUCUGCGAACGCCCUUUUGUACCAGCCUUCUUUAAACCGGGAUUAAAAGGAAGCGCAUCGAAAGUUAGUUCUCUACUAAUGGUAGUGUGAAACCCGGUAGUUCCUCAGCUUCUCCUGCUUCGAAUCUGAACUCCCCUCCCCGUGCUGACAGAAAAAGGGGUAUUUAUACCCUAGAGACGCCAUGGUAUAAAAGAGAAGUGGGCGAGGUGAAAGCCCAUGCCGAUCGGCCUAGGUGGGUCCAAGCCGAUCGACCUGGCCCUUCCUUUCAUCCCCAAUUGCUCAAUGGAAACUCUCAUUUCAUCAAGUCUCUCAAAGCCUAUGCUAGAACAUUGUCAACCUAUUCUACUUACAAACAAGUGGUAGGCUUAUCUGGAUCUUGGUAGGUAGAAACAGUCCUUGCAAAGUAUAAUAGUCAGAAUAUUAUCAAAUUAGGAAACACUUCUAUUGGGUUGUCAAAAAGGUCAUGGAGAAAUAGUUGCUUAUAGAGAGAGAAUGGAACACACACUUUUUUAGAUGGCGGACAUGUGCAAGGGAAAAUAGGUGAUCCCGAGACACAAAUGAAGUUAUUGUUAUCGAGUUGCAUAUGGUUAGAAAAUUUUAGUGUUAACCCUGCUCUUAAUCAUAUGUAACAAGACAUGGCACUCCAUUUAGAUGUUCAAUUAAUAUUCUAGCUUAUUAUUAUGGAGGAUAGACAUUUUUCAAUGAUGAACAAGCCACAAAGAAUUUAGAACAAUGCUCUCAAAUUUAAAUCAACUUCAGAACUUUUCUUUCAAUGGAGCAUAAUUUUCAAACAGGACUAGAUCAACAUCAGCAACAGAAUUCUUGCAAUUGCUCAAUGGAAACUCUCAGCUCAUCAAAUCUCUCAGAGCCUAUGCUAGAACAUUGUCAACCUAUUCUACUCAUAUAAACAAGUGGUAGGCUUAUCCGGAUCUUGGUAGGUAGAAACAGUCCUUGCAAAGUAUAAUAGUCAGAAUAUUAUCAAAUUAGGAAAUACUUCUAUUGGGUUGUCAAAAAGGUCAUGGAGAAAUAGUUGCUUAUGGAGAGGGAGAGACUGGAACACACACUUUUUUAGAAUGUUGACAUGUGCAAGGGCAAAUAGGUGAUCCCGAGACACAAGUGAAGUUCUUGUUAUCUAGUUGCACAUGGUUGGAAAAUGAGUAUGGAUUUACCUUUAGGGGACUGGGAAAUUUAUGAAGCUCAAAGAACUAUUGAGAAUUUUUAUUAUCAUCUUUCUUUUUGCUCUUUUUCUUCUUUUUCUCAUCUCAUUUUUAAUUUUAUUUUUUAAUUUUUUUCUUUUGCUUCCUUAGAACUUUUUGCAACAUAAUACUUACUUAGCAGUGGUCAGAGAUAACGCGAUGACUCCAACCCCCAUGCUUGAACGAUGCUCGUCCUCGAGUAUGAAAGAGAGAACUAUUGUGACCCUUUUGAGAUUCAUUUGAUGCUUUCAUGAUCAAGAUCACCUGCACUCCACCUAUAUAUGCUAAACUCCUACACUAGUAGUUCACAACAAUUAUCACCCAUCCAUUCCACAAAAUAAAUACUCCACUACAUAUGUUGAUUUCUCUCAAGUUAUCAUUACAAAAGAAACAUGGGCUAUUGAAAAAGAGAGGGACACAUGAAGGUCCCAGUAUAGAAAAAAAUAUGAACACAUGAAGGUCCAAGUAUUAAAAAAAUGAAGAAAAAAAGGAGUCGGACACAUGAAGGUCCAAGUAUGUGAAUAAAGUGGAAGAUAGCCAUGUUCUCAAUAUUAAAUAUGUCCAAAGGGAGAGAGAUUAUAUAAAAUGGAGUUUCCAUACAUUCCCUAUCCACCACCCACAUAUUCACACACAUGCACAUCUUGAUCUGAUUGUAUGACUUGUUUUCUCCUUAAAUCCGGUUUUUGAAUUUGCAAUAUAUGUAAUACAAGUAUGCUUUAUUUUCAUCCCCUACCUUGAGCUCCACAAAAAGCUUUAUUAGAAGUAGGAAGGAAAAGAGGCAAACAAAUGCCUCGGUAAGGAACCAUACACAUUGAGCGAUCUGAGAUAAUCAUUCGAGGAGCAAGUCUAUGCUUUGUUCUGAGAAUAUUUCAAAAACCUAAGAUAUCUGAGUACGAGAAGUUUGUUACUUCUCUUCUUCCUUUUUAUAUAUGUGCUCUUUUAUUGUACACAAUACUAAGCUAUACUACUGUUCAAAAAGGACUAGUAUACAAAUAUUUGACGGUUAAGAUUAAUUGUAUACUACUGAAACCUUCACCUGUGGUAUGGGUAGUAUACAUGACUAGUAUAAGGGUAUUAUGGUAAAAGAACACAAAUGAUAUCACUAAAAUUUUAUUUUUGACACUAGCAUAAAGUUUAAAAUGCCAUUUCAUUUGAAAUAUCACUUUUCACAUGUAAUAAUUACUAAAUCAUGAAUAUUUAUAUCUUAUAUAUACUUAUAUACUACUAAGUAGUAUAAGCAGCAGGGGAUUACCCCUCGUGUUCCUAAAGAUAAAAUAGAUUACAACUCCAGCGGACGUGCUACAAUUCUUCAGGGCGCCGUGCCUGCCCUGAAAAAUUCCUGAAUGAGGGACGAUUUGCCGAUGAAUACUGCUGAAAUCAACAAGCUGGCCAAGAGCCUUAAAAAGUGGUUGAAUGUUGAAAGCUAAAGUAAGCAAAGCGCACUUGAUCAGUCCAACACACAACUUCCACAAAUUAAACAUGAGCUAGCACGAAGCAGUUCAUCACGAGAUCGACACACGACUGUGCGGACAUGAAGUUGUUGAUGCAUGCGGUCUCUGAUCAUCACGUACCAGCAGGCGGUGAUUUACCAUUACCGCCUGCCACUGCUGGCGGAGGAGACGGUGCCGGCGGAGUGCUCCCCCAUGAGACCGGGUACUCCAGUUCUUCUUCCGUCUUGCAAGGGACCUUGCCGCCGUCCGGGGUGCUUGCAUCGCUACGGAGGAAGGUAACCGGCCAGCAGUAAUAGGUCUUGUUGAUGAUCUUCUCCGAGUGAGCACGCUUGUAGCUGGUCUCCACCACCACCAUCACGGGGAAGCUGCGGUGGUGCCUGUCGGAGAGGUAGUGCACCGACGCGUAUUGUCCUUGCCUGUAGAGGCUUACCCACCUCCUGUACCUGUGCGAGCUGUGCGGCUGCAGGUCGAAGAUGACGUUCGUCUCCGGCUGGUACCAUAAGAACUGCACCAUCUCCGUGAAGGAAGCAUUGGGGUUGUCUAUGACCCUGAUGAUGCUGAUGUUGCACUGGAUCUGGCCGCGGCCGCUGGGGUUGAGGGCGUCGACGAUGAUCAGCAUCGGCACCUCUCCCGCUGGCGAGUACACAGACGUGGUGUUGUCGUAAAUCCACCACCAUUGUUGUGUCUGGACAUAGCCGUAGCUCUGGAGGUCCAUCUCCACGGGGCGGUUGACGAAGACGAUCACCAUCACCACCACCGCGACGGCGAGCACGGAGACCACGACGGCCACCAGUGAGCGCACCGUGGCUAGGAAGGGGAAUGUAGUGUUCUGGCCAGCGCGGCAUGUUGCCAUUUUUUCUCACGUAGGUAGCUAGGGCGGUGGAUGAUGGACUUGUCCGCUAGGGACCUGCAGCCAUAUAUACACAUAAAUUACUGACCGAAUGUUCAUUCCCUUUUUUUGGUUAGAUGACUCAGAUUAGUCUACCGGUUAACAGGGGGCUUGGCUAACAAUUAGGCUGCCUAUUAACCUCCUGUUAGGAUCAGCCAUGGCAAAGUUUUGACGGUUAACGAUCUCCCUAUAUAUCUAAACAAGUUCUUAGGUCAUGUUCCGUUCUUUAGGAGCUCCUAAAAUUCAUGUCACAUUCGAUGUGACAUGAAUUUUAGUCUGGACUAAAGAACCAAACACCCCAUUACUCCCCUCCCCCUCCCACCUCCCACACCAAUGUUCAAAAUUUUGGCCGAAAUUUCAUGAAAUUUGAUCUUUUGGUAGUGACCGAAAUUACUAUUUGCCCGAAAUUUCGGUAUGUCAACCGAAAGAUGCACUUUUUGCACCAAAUUUCACAUGAAAUUUCAUGAAAUUAGGUGUUUUCGAUGGGGACUGAAACUUUUCUGAAAACAAAAUCCCAAUCCCUGCCCCACACCGUCCAAGUAGAAUUAGGACACACUCUUUAUACAGUGAUAAUUCAGGCUUCUGCCAACCACAGGAACCGGAGUUGUUUAAUUUUUUGGCAAAAUGUCGUGCAGAUGCUUACAUACAAAGCAUUCGUACAUGCACCAAUUAUGAGUACUUCUGCAACACCGUGUCAUUAUGCUUUCAAUAUCUGGUCUUUAAAAACCUUAGAUUUACCUAUGAUGACUUGGUUAAUUAAUCUCAAGAUCAUCUGCUACCUAGAGUUUUGGUGGCACUGGAUCAUAGGGCACAGUUGUAUGUGUAUUCAUCAGAAUGAGUGCAUGUGCAUCUAUAUGAUGUCCGUGUUUUUUUUAAAAAAAUAAACCUGCGCAGGUCAUGAUGCUUCCACUAUCCUGUCUUAUCUGUUUGGAUACCAGGGGCUAUACUUUAGCUCCUGUCAUAUCAGAUGUUUGAUACUAAUUAGAAGUAUUAAAUAUUGACUAAUCACAAAACUAAUUGCACAGAUGGAGGCUAAUUCGCGAGACGAAUCUAUUGAGCCUAAUUAGUCCAUAAUUUGACAAUAAGGUGCUACAGUAACCAUUUGUUAAUGAUAGAUUAAUUAGGCUACGUCUCGCGAGUUGGUCCAGAAUUUGUGCAAUUAGAUUUAAAAUUAGCUCAUGUUUAAUUCUCCUAAUUAGCAUCAAAACAUUAACUGUGACAAGGGCUAAACUUUAGCCAAGGACAACCAAGCAACAUGCACGCCUAUAUAUGCUCUUUGAUCAGAAAAGGAAAGAAAUAUUCCCAAAAAAAAGGAAUAUGUGCUGCGGUCCAUACACGUUCUUUGAAGAAAUAUUCCAUACUUAUUUUAUGUCAUUGUAGAAGGACUUUGAAUAAGGUUCGAUGGAGUCACGUGGCUGCGUCUGCUGGCAGCUGAUCGAUGAGUCAUAUUACUAUUGGACUUGUGUUUUGGAUGCUUAUGUUUUGGAUUACAUUCAGAAUGUACGGGCAGGGGCGAAGCCACGUAUAAGAUUUUUAUUUACCACUAAUUAGACUCAAAAUUACCAUAUAAUCCUAGCUUGUAAAUUAAAAUUUACAAGUCUCUUGAGCAGUGCACCACGGUCAAUUCAGCGCUAGCUUCGCCCCUUUGUACGGGGAUUAUGCAACCCAGAAACGACGACUAAGAGCCUCAUUUCCGGACAUGCGUCCCUAUGAUCCUUUAUAUACUCCAAAUGUCUGAGUGGCCGGCUCAUACUUGCCAUGGCGAUGUCUAUCCCUCCUCUCAAAGGAUGGAGCAGCAAGCUCCUUGUAGUUGCGGCCAUGAUAGGAACCCUGGUCGUGGUCGCCAUCGCCGCCGUCAUCAUCGUCGGCCUCACUCCGCCACUGGUCUUCUUCUCCAUCCAAGAUGCAAGCCUCCAAGGCGGGCAGUUGAAACAGCAAAAAUUCUACAACUUCACCCUCUAUGCCAACAACACCAGCCGGCGCAUGGAGGUGCACUAUACCAACCUCAACACCGAGAUCUGGAUAGCCCCGUCUGAGUGGUACCCGGCCGAGGUGAGCAUGAGCGGGUUCGAGCAGCCACCGGUGAGCAUCAACGGGUACAAGCAGCCACCGGACAACGUGACCAAGGUCGCCGGGUGGGCCGAGUUCUAUCAGACGACGUCGUUGACGGCGGCGGCGCAGGGCGGCGGCGCGGGGAAUUGGCCAAACUGCACUGUGGUGGUGAUGGCCAAGGUGUUGUUCAAGGUCGGGCUGGCACGCACACGGCCGUACCACAUCAGGGUGUUCUGCUUCCCCGUCAACUUCCUCAAUACGACUCGGUACGCCAAUUGUACAUACUGAUCUCGAUCGACGUGUAUGCAUGCAUCCAUGUUGUUGAACGUGUACAUGACUGUUGUGACGUGCUCCUUUACCAUAGCUUCAGAUCCUGACUUGUAGCAUUGACAGAGUAUGCGUCUAUUAUGGCAGAGAGCCUCUUGUACAUGUAUUUAACUCAAUCCAGAGAUCAAUAAUGAAAGGAUGCGGUUUUUUUUUAGGAAACAGGAGGGGAAGUACCCCUGCUGAUUAUAUAUUAAUAUAUAGUUGACAGUACACUAGUGAUACAAACCUUGUUUAUGACACAAAGAAAGAAACAAAAAAGAUUAAGAAAAUUACAGUGAAUGCUCUAACCAUUGAACCAUUGAUUGUUUCCAAGACUCUCUGACACGAAAUACUACCAAACUGAAAAUCUGUUUGAACCGUUCCUUUGCAGCUUGAUAAGCUGGCACUAGGGCCUUUGAAGAUGCAGUCAUUGCGUGUCAUCCAAAUACUCCAGCUCAUAAUUACGAUAAUUUCCAUAAAGAAAGGCACUUGCAACUGGUUCCAGCUCAUAAUUACGAUAAUUUCCAUAAAGAAAGGCACUUGCAACUGGUUCCAGAAGCUAACGAGAAUAUCAUAAGGUUGUUGCUGCAAAUCCACAAAGAGGCCGAGAUUGAUCCAACACUCCUGUGCGAAUGGACAAUCUAGUAAUAGAUGAAAGAGGGUUUCUUCCUUGUUGUGGUUCCAGAGGACGCAGUUAUAGGAAGGGAGAGCCAUCUGCUUUCGUUUAAGCUCCACUGGCGGCAGAGCCGCAUCCUGUGUCGGCUCAUCCGCGGCAUCCUGUGGGUGCGAAGCAUGCUAAGCCACCCUAACCUCUGCUUCAAGCAGCUCUCCGUGCUAGGGUUCUUCCAACUGUCGUCGCCUUCGCCGUUCAUGGUGCCAACCAAGGCAGUGCCCAAGGAGGUAAUUAAAGAUUUCUUCAUCGGUAAUGUCGCGCGGUUCUUGGUUUCAAGUACUGCCUGUAUUUUUUUAUUUUUUAUUUUUGCCUUGUCAUUUGGUCCGUCAGAACUAAGUUUGUCGAAUUCCUUCUGAAUAAGCUUGAGACGCUGGUCGUGCUUGUUUGUUGGUGUGCCUACGUGCCGCGUAGUUGUCGUAGCAAAUACUUUCGGUUCCAUAUCGCCUGUGACUGGACCGGGAUGUUCUUCAAUCUGUUAUGGCCCUGUAUUCUGUUUUUAUAUGGAUCCCACAUAUAAUCAAUUUCCAACAUUUGCUUUCCUCUGUACAUUCAGCAUGUUGUCUUUUUUUUUUUUUUGAAGCGCAUUCAGCAUGUUUCGCAGAUGUUUGGAAGGAUGAUCCAAAUUCUGAAUGCACAGACCCUGUUGGGAAAUUGAUUUCCCCACUGCGUGUCUGUGUUUACAUGCAUCUUCUAACUGUGGUUCCAAUGGCCCGUCUAGGCCCAUACAGGCCUAUCAGGUGGAUGGGCCGGCCGGCCUCCUGGAUCAACAAGACCGGUAUCCCUUCUUGGCCCGUCCGCCCCCGCUGUAGAAACAAAACCAGAACCAGCAGAUCCCCCGGGCCCUGAAGAGAAAGACGAUGGCAACAGAAGAAAGAGCUCGCGACGAAGCCGGCGAAAGCCCCCCAAACCCUCCCCAGCCCAGGCAGCGGCGGCGCGACGAGAUGGCCGACGACCCCACCGCCGGCGGCGGGAACACCGUCGAGGACGUCGUCCGCGCGGAGGUGAGCAUCCCCGGCCGGCCCUCGUCCUCUUUGCUGCGAGUGCCGGGGAAUCCGAUCUCCGCCCGGGCCGACCUGGCUCUGCUCGGCUGCCUCCCGAUCUGCCCGCGCGGGUGGCGGCGCCUCGCCCCUAGUUCGGUUUCGGGUUAGAGGUGUCCCAGCGUGGUGUCUGGGCGGGGGGAAUCCGGCGACGAGGCGUUCUCCCUCCCGUUGGCUCGGUUGGCGCGGACGGACGCGGUGGGCCUGGUUGGGGAAAUCUGUGCCCGUUUCGAUUUGGGUGUAGAAUAGGUAUACGUCUUCAAAAUUGAUAGAAUUAGGCCCGUUUAUAAAAAAUUGAUAGAAUCUGCCUGCAAGGCGCGGUUUCCCAGCUGGCCCGUCCUCAUUUACUAAUCCCCACCAAGCUUAGCAUCUUUCCUUUCGAUGAAAUAAAAAAAUGUUAAUGUCAACAGCUCCUCGAUUACCGCAUAGAUUAACACCUCUUUAGCCUUUGUGGCACGGCACCUAAUACUUUCCUCACCUUUGCAGUGCCGUGGGCCCGCCACUUCCCUUCUGGCCCACAAGUCAUGGAGGCGCGCGAGGAGGGGUAUCGGUUUCACGAUGAUUAAUCAAGAAAGGCCCAAGACACGUCACGCUGGGGGUGGGGGAGGGAAGACACCGCACCGCAUGCACCUGCAUGCACCUUUGCCUUUGCUUUUCCCCGGCGUCCUAGGGACCUCGAGCUCGCCCGCCUAGGAGCUCCAGCAGCCGGGCCGCUCCGCCGCCGGUGCGGCAACCACGCCGCCGUCAGACCACCUCGCGCGGCCACCCCGCGCCGGUGCGCCGUGCGCGGCGGUGCUGUCCCGCCGCUCCUCCGCCUACCGUCCUCCUGCGCCACCACCAGCUAGCGCACCGGCAGCACCGCGAGCUGCCGCGCCGCCCCGACGACGUUGGUCAUUCCGGAGCCCGGUGUCGUCACCAGCGUCGCCGGAGAAGGUAAUUACCUGAAGCAAUUUGUAGAAACGAAUAGUACUGGUUCGUUCACUUAUUUCAUUGCUCAAACUUAAUUUCUGCUUAUUAGAGUUUGUGCCUUGUCGUGAGACUAAAUUAGCUGCUUAUUCUGCAGGUUGCAUUCAGGAGAUCGAGCUGCCGGAUCGGAGGAGGUCAUAUCAGCCGUGUUGGUUGUGCACUUGUGUUGCUGCCGGCGGAGAAGGAACCAUGGUGAUCGGGCCACUGAUCUCCAUAAUGUAGUUGAACUAAAAUAAUCCCCUUCUGAGUUUAGCAUCUUUCCUUUGGAUGAAAUAAAAAAUUGUUAUUCCGGAUCCGUAAUCUCAACUGCUCCUCCAUUACACAUAGCAUCUUUCCUUGAGUUUAGCAUAUUAUUUCAACAUUUCAAAACUCUAGAUUCAACAUUUCUUGAAACUUAGUGCAACAUUUUAGAUAAAUCGAUUCAACAUUUAGCAUAGUAUUGUUGAAAAUGUUGAGCUAGUAUAUGUUAUUUCAACAUUUCUGCAAAGCUAGCUCAACAUUGAGGUAAUGUAGUUCAACAUUUUGUGUAGUAUUGUUAAAAUAGUGUAUCUAAAAUGUUGAGCUAAUACACAAAAAGUGUUGAGCUAGUAUAUAUUAUUUAAACAUUUCAAAAGUCUAGAUUCAACAUUUAUGGAAACCACAUUUUAGAUAAACUGGUUCAAUAUUUUGCAUAGCAUUGUUGAAAUAGUGUACCUUAAACGUUGAGCUAAAUAUAUAAAAAUGUUGAGCUAAUAUAUCUAAAAUGAUGAAACUAAGAAAAUAAAAAUGAAAAAAAUAUAUACAGUCAUGUGGGAUCUUAAUCCGUUAGAAAAAUUUCGAAAAGGCUCAUAGUUUAAUCGGAAUUAAAAUUAAAUGCACCGUUAGAGAGAUAAGUAAGUUGAAAAGUUCGAAAUCAAAACUCACAUCACCCAACAAGUAGCUGAAACCUAUCCGUCCUUUCAGCAGCUCCACCCACCUCGCACCAGCAUACUAGCACAUGGUGGUCCCCAGCCACCUCGAUGCCGUUGCGUCGAAGGAGAGGGCGGAACCGACGAGGGUCGCCGGCGGCUCCCACCCCGGCCGAACGCGUCCUGACCGACUCCGGCAGGGGGCGGCAGGGCCUCCCGCAGGUGAGCGCUUCCAUCCGUGGUCCGCAGCAGUAAUGUCUGAUUUUUCGCUUUCUUCUCCAGAAUUCGUCGCAUAUACUUAUAUGUCAUCGUCCUCUUAUUUUUCGCUUUCUUCUCCAGAAUUCGUCACAUAUACAAAGCUUUCACGAUUUCGAUGAGAGAUUUGGUCAUGUUUGUGGCCACGGAGACACAGUCUAGCUAGCGUAGUGAAAAGUGGCACUAGUGAUUGCAAUACGCACGGAAAUUGGUUUUUUGUCUGUUCUUUCUCCAUCUCAAUCAUCAAUCAAAUGGGGGUAGUCGUCGGUACGCCGGGUGGGCCGAGUUGGCCAAACUGCACAGUGGUGGUGGCAGCCAAGGUGUUGUUCAAGGUCGGGCUGGCACGCACACGGCCGUACCAUAUCAGGGUGUGUCCUGCUUCCCCGUCAACUUGGGGAGGUGGGCCAAGCGACAGCUAGCUGUGGUGUGGUGGGCAUCCAGCAGGCGCGCAGGGCCCAGCCGUGGCCGUGAUUAUGCGCCGGGGUGAGAGAAGAAGACACGGCACCUAAUACUUUCCUCACCUUUGCAGUGCCGUGGGCCCACCACUUCCCUUCUGGCCCACAUGUCAUGGAGACACGUCAGGCUGUGGUGGACAAGGGAAGACACCGCACCGCACGCACCUCCACCACUUGCCUUGCCUUUGCCUUCGCUUUUCCCACUUGUGCUGUGGGAAGACACCGCAUACACCUCCAGCUCGAGCUCGCCCGCCUAGCUAGGAGCUCCAGCAUCCGGUCCGCUCCGCCGCCGGUGCAGCAACCACGCCGCCGUCAGACCGCCUCGCGCGGCCACCGGUCGUCCCCGCGAUACACCGCCGCCGGUGCGCCGUGCGCGGCGGCGCUGUCCCGCCGCUCCUCCGCCUACCGUCCGCCUGCGCCACCACCAGCGCACCGGCAGCACCGCGAGCUGCUGCGCCGCCCCGACGUUGGUCCUUCCUGAGCCCGGUGUCGUCACCAGCGUCGCGGAGAAGCUAAUUACCUGGAGCAAUUUGUAGAAACAAAUAGUACUGGUUCGUUCACUUAUUUCUUUGCUGAAACUUAAUUUCUGCUUAGAGUUUGUGCCUAAAUUAGCUGCUUAUUCUGCUGGUUGCACGCAGGAGAUCGAGCUACGGGCGUACGGCCGGAUCGGAGGAGGACAUAUCAGCCGGGUUCCUGUUGGUUGUGUACUUGUGUUCCUGCCGGCAGAGAAGCAACCAUGGCCGAGUUACUGAUCGGGCCACUGAUCUCCAUGGUGAAGGAGAAGGCAUCCAGCUACCUGCUGGACCAAUACAAGGUGAUGGAAGGCAUGGAGGAGCAGCGCAAGACCCUGGAGCGCAUGCUGCCAGCAAUCCUGCAAAUCAUCCAGGAUGCGGAGGAGAAAGGAGCCUCCCGAUCUAAAGUUGCAGUUUGGCUUAAAGACCUCAAGACAGCGGCCUAUGAGGCCAACGACGUCUUUGAUGAGUUCAAGUACGAGGCGCUUCGGCGAGAAGCCAAGAAGAAGGGCCACCAAAGCAAGCUUGGAGCGGAGGUAGCAAGACUCCUAGUCCCCGCUCGUAAUUCCAUUGUAUUCCGUUACAGGAUGGGCAAGAAGCUAAGCAGGAUUGUGCAGACCAUCGAGGCCCUGGUCACCGAGAUGAAUAAAUUUGGUUUCAGACACUUGCAGCAAGCACAGCCAUCAAGGCAGUGGCGACAGACAGAUUCCAUAAUCAUUGACUCCGACACAGAUAUUCUUAGCAGAUCUAGAGAUCGGGAGAAGAAGAAAAUCGUGGGGAUGCUCCUUGAUCAAGCUAGCAACAUGGAUCUCAUGGUUCUUCCAAUUGUUGGGAUGGGUGGGAUGGGCAAGUCCACCUUUGUGCAACUCAUUUACAAUGACCCUGCAAUCGAGAAGCACUUUGAGCUUCGGAGGUGGUGCUGCGUGUCAGAUGAUUUCGAUGUCAGUACCAUUGCAAGCAACAUCUGCCAGACCAAUGAGAAAUAUCGUGAAAAAUCAUUGCAGGAGCUCCAGAGUACAAUAAGUGGAAAAAGAUACCUCAUUGUGUUAGAUGAUGUAUGGAAUCGGGAUGCUGAUAAGUGGGGAAAACUAAAGACCUGCCUUAAGCAGGGUGGCAAGGGCAGUGCGGUACUAACAACAACUCGUGAUGCAGAAGUGGCUCGCAUUAUGACCAUGGGUGUAGCUCAAGCCCAUAAUAUCGAGAAUCUGAGUGACGAGCAUUUAAAGGAAAUUGUCCAGAGCAGAGCAUUCAGCUUGCAAAAUCCAAAUAUGGAAGAGCAAGAUGGCAUUCUCAGUGGAUUUGUUCGUCGAUGCGUUGGAUCUCCCUUGGCUGCCAAAGCCUUUGGCUCUAUGUUGAGUAACAGGACUAGUGUAAAUGAAUGGAAGGAUGUAUUAGCUAAAAGUGACAUUUGUAGUGAGAAAACCGGAAUUUUACCGAUCCUCAAGCUCAGUUUUGAUGACCUAUCCUCAGAUAUGAAGCAGUGCUUUGCAUUUUGUGCUUUAUUUCCUAAAGAUUAUGAGAUUGAUGUGGACCUCUUGAUUCGACUGUGGAUGGCACAUGACUUCAUACCUGUGCAGGAGGAUGACAAUCUAGAAACCAUAGGAAAAUAUAUUUUUGAGGAGCUAACUCGGAGGUCAUUCUUUCAAGAUGUCAGGCAAACACUUCAAUUUGACUAUUUUGGAAGCAGGUUGUCGCUUCGUAAGUCAACCAUAUGCAAGAUACAUGAUCUCAUGCAUGACAUUGCUCUAUCUGUUCUGGGGAAAGAAUGUGUCACUAUAGUUGGUAAGCCGAGCGUCAACAAGCUGUUGCUAAAUCCGACCCGCCACGUCUUCUUAUCACUAUAUGGUUUCAAUCCUACUUUCUGGAAAGAACAGGUUACAAGUCUACUAGAUCAUCUAUUGAAGAAACAAACUGCAAUGCUCCAUACGUUGUUUAUCAAAGAUUAUGGUCAACCCCUUGAUAUAUCAAAGUACACUUCACUGCGAGCAUUACACCUUCCAGCAAAUGAAGAGCUAAGGUAUCCUAAUCUGUCGCCACAUGAACAGCUUACAAGACACAUACAACACCUAAGGUAUCUUAAUCUGUCAUCACAUUGGUUCGAGAAACUUCCUGAAGGUAUAAGCAUUAUGUAUCAUCUACAAACGUUGGACCUCUCUCAUUGCAAAUACCUUCGUCACCUUCCAAAGGAUAUGAAGUAUAUGGCAAACCUCCGACACCUCUAUACCCAUGGAUGCAUAUCAUUGACAUGCAUGCCUCCAGGACUUGGACAGAUCACUUCUCUGCAGACUCUAACAUAUUUUGUUAUUGGUGAUGGCUUGGGAUGUAGUACUAUUGGGGAACUUCAAAACUUAAACCUUGGUGGAGAGUUAGAGUUAAGUGGUCUGCAAAAUGUAACAGAAGUGCUUGCAAAAGCAGCCAGUCUUGAAAAUAAAGAGAGACUCACACACUUAUCUCUCGCGUGGAAUGAUGAUGCCCGUGAGAAACCAGAUUCUCAUAAUGAGGUGUUAGAUGCCCUUAAACCUCAUCACCGGCUAGAGAUGCUAAGAAUAAAGUCCUACAAAGGCACCAAAUUACCGUCAUGGAUAACAGAUCUUAGUCUGUUGCAGCACUUGACUGAGCUCCAACUGGUUGGUUGUAGGCUGUGCGAGGAAUUUCCUCAAUUCUGCCAUUUCAAAGCCCUUGAAGUUCUGUAUUUGAAAAAGUUGGACAAAUUGCAAAGCCUAUGCAGUCAUAUGGUGUCUACGCCAUUUCCAGCACUGAAGCAACUCCAGUUACAUGAUUUGGAGAGCUUGGAGAGAUGGGUCGCAACAGAAGGAAAAGAAGAUGAAUUAUCCUUUCCUGUACUUGAGGAGGUUGAAAUAGAGAACUGUCCAAAGUUGACUAGCCUACCUGAAGCACCAAAGCUCAAGGUUGUAAAGCUGGAUGAAGGCAAGCCGCUGCUCUCCUUAGGAAUAGUUAAAUCAAGGCACAUGUCUUCAAUUUCUAAGCUACUACUGCGUGUCCGUGACACAGAAGCACUGCCUCAGAUAGAUUAUAAUUGGGAUUCAUCACAGAAACUGGAACUAUCUUUGGGUGGCACAGAAGCCGCACCUCUGUCACAACUGAGCAUAUUUGGCUGCAACUUUUUAUUCGUAUCAAGCCACUCACAGCUAACACCUGGGGUCUGGAAAUGGUUUGAACAUCUUGCAGUUUUAACAAUUGCAAAAUGUGAUGUGCUCAUCUACUGGCCAGAAGAAGUGUUCCAAAGCUUGGUAUCUUUGAAGUACUUGUUCAUUUUCUCCUGCAACAAGCUAAUAGGGCCCACACAAGCGAAAGGUGACAAACCUACACAAACAACAGAUCAAGUCCUGCCACAUCUAAACAUGAUACGUAUACACAAUUGUGAAAGCAUGGCACAGCUCUUCAUUCUUCCCCCAUCUAUCAGAAUUAUUCAUAUUUUUGAGUGCCCUAAGCUUGAGUUCAUAUGGGGAAAAGAGGAGCAUCUUGACACAUAUGCAUCGCUGGAACAUUGCCGCGACCCUGCAUCCACCACUGGUAACCUAGAGCAAUCGCCGUCUCCAAUUAUUCGCCGUCCAUGCCUUGUAGAUCUAACUAUAAGAGGAUGUGAUAGCCUGGUAACACUUCCAAAUCUACCACCGUCCCUCAAGGAAUUAUUCAUCCGGAAGUGUGAGAAGCUCUGCUCUGUGUCAGGAGACCUGUGUGCACUCGAGACCCUACAGAUUGUUAACUGCAAUAAGUUACAGUCAGUCAAUUCCUUGGGAGACCACCCAUCAUUAGAAACACUGUUUCUUUCUGGCUGCCGAUGCCUUGCAUCUUUAGGAUGUGAUGGUGGUCGUGGGAGUUACUCUGCUCUUCAGUGCCGUGAGAUCGAAGACUGCCCAGCCAUAGAUAUGAAGCAGUUUUACUAACGCCAUCAAACAGCUGCUUGACAGCUUUGAAUAUGAAGACGUAUCACACGUUCAUUCAAGCAGCUCUGAUGAAGGUACGACCUUUCACUUUCCUCUUAUUCAAUUUGUUUCCUUCAAAUUUCCCUUCUUUGCAUGCCCUCCUAUUUUGUUGACGAUCUGGUUUAUAGAUGGGCUUGCGGGGUGGGAUUUUGGGGUUUCAUCUUCGUUCCGGCUUUUAGACGGUCCUUUCUCACUGACGUGACCCCACAUAUAUUUUAGUUUAUACGGCUAUUGGUUUUCAGUCUUCGAUGCAGUUGAAGUGCAUAGGGAAAUUCUGGAAACAUGUUCUAUCCCUUGGUGUUGAGAUCAGCUGAUGCGGAAUCACUGAAGUACUACUGAAACGAGAUCCUGAUCGGUCUCAGUUGUGGAGAGCAAUUUGUGAUGAAUGGAAGCAGUCCCAAGGCUUCAAGAACUCAUGGAGUCGUGCUGUACCAUUCUCCACUGCCAGGGCCUAAACUAGGUACAUGGAAGGCGCACAGGUUGGGAUAGUAAAAAACCAUACCUUUGUCUGUGUUAGAGCAACUCCAAGAGGCUGCUAAUCUUACCCCAAUACCUUUUUUAGGAAAAAAAAAGAGAAAAAAUGAACUCCAACAAUCCACCUAAACCUUCCCCAAUUUUUUAGCGACGCUAAAAAACAGCCUGCCAUCGCGUAUAUUUUAGCGUUGGCGUUCCUUCCCCAAUCCUGAUUCCCGCACACCCGCGCGUCCCUUCCGAUGGGCCCAAUACGAUGACGUGGCCUGUGUUUGAAAUAUUGGGGGCUAUUUAUUAGCGAUCUGUUGUGGACUGAUAUGCUUUUGGGGGAAAUUUUUUUUGGGAGAACCCCCAAUACAUAGUUUUGGGGAAGAAUUUUUUAGGAUACUCUUGGAGUUGCUCUUAGAGCAUCUUCAAGAGUCUGCCAAAAAACUCUUCCCCAAAACCACAUCAUCCCACAAUAGAUCCCUAAUAAUAAAUUUUCCAAUAUUUUAAAAUUUGCCACAUCAGCAUGCGUGGACCCUAAGCUGGGCUGCCCCCUUCCCCCGCUGGAGCGUUUUCGCGCUUUCGCACUGUGGCUGCCUGAGCAGGGGUUGGUCUGUGCUGAUUUGCUGAACCAUGCAUAUUAUAUGCACUGGGACUGUCAUGCCCUCAGAAAAGCAUCAUCAUCUACUGGUAUGACGUCAAUUCAGCCUCAAACUCUCAACACUGAAGGCCUUCGAGGACUAGGACUACGCCAGCGCCACCCAUUGAAUCCCAUCCCCAUCUCGGCCACGUGCCAUGCCAUGCCCAGCCGUGGGGCACUGGGCAGCCCACGUGCAGCCACUUGUGGCCACGGACGCCCAGCCAGACCAUCACCCCCAAGAGGAGGAACGCCUUAUCUUUUCACCAUGAGAAAGCAGAGUCUAACGGUCCGUGGGCAAUAGGAAAAUCAGCACCGGCGGACUCCUGUGUUCACCUUCAUAUUUUUCGUGGUCUAUAUUAUGCGAGUUAUAGCAGUCCUAGGGAAUUUGUUUGGUGUCUCGGAGUUGUCAUAUUCCUAUUAAUGAUUGUGACAGCUUUUAUAGGAUACGUACCACCUUGGGGUCAGAUGAGCUUUCGGGGAGCAACAGUAAUUACAAGCUUAGCUAGCGCCAUACCAGUAGUAGGAGAUACCAUAGUGACUUGGCUUUGGGGUGGUUUCUCCGUGGACAAGGCUCUUGGAGUUGCUCUUAAUCAAUUCUCAUUUAGCACUCUGUUGUUAACAUGUUACCCCCAUGCUUUUCAUUUUUUCUGUGCAGACAUGACCCAUUUAUCCUUAAAAGGCAUAAAGGAGGGCACUCACAUGUACGCACGACUGGCAACUGGAAGCUUCGUUGCAAGCCUCUGCUAACGACCAAGUUUGUUUUCACGCCACUAUACCAGCUGCUGGUAAUUCUCUUGUCACUAAUGUCAUCCUGUCAUCCAUCAAAGCCGUGGAGAAUAUGAUGCCACUCUGAGUCCUUCAGUUUGCCACGUGAGCCGAUGAAGCAGAAACAGAUGAUGAUGAUGGAUGAUAUAACUGCGGGGAUGCAGACUUGCUUUCAACGGUCGAAAUGGAGCUACAAAUGAUUAGUCGUAGUCGUGUGUGGUCCUUCCAUCACCUUGUGUUAUUGAUCCCGUUUGUAUGUGUUGCGUUCUCUAUAUCCCUCCAUAGCUUUUCAGUUGUUGUCUCUUUUACGACUAUUUUGAUUCCUCUUUUCCUUUUUAUUAAUAUAACACAAAAAUCCUCUUGCCAUGUUUUUGAAAAAACAAAAUCGUGAGGAUGCUGCUUCAUGAAGCUAGCAACAUGGAUCUCAUAUGGUUCUUCCGAUUGUUGGGAUUGGUGGGAUGGGCAAGACCACCUUUAAUUUGUGCAACUCAUUUAUGACCCUGAUCGUGAUGCAUUUUGAGCUUCAGAGGUGGUGCUGUGUGUCAGAUUCGAAAAUGUUUUUUGACUCUUUCAUCACCGCCUUCAGUAGCUCAUGCCGGUCAGGUCUUCUCCAGUGACCAGUUCCUUCACCUUGGUUGCGCACCCCCUCACCUGGGCUUGCAGCUAGGUCAUAGCCUUGGCAUUCCGCAUCAUCUCAGCCAUGGCAUAGUCUAGUGCUACGUAGGUUGUGUCCGUCCCGGCUUCAAACAUGUCCUUCAUGAACAUAUCCGUAGAACUCCAAUCAAAUUUAACCAAACUAGUCAUGAAACAUGUCAUAUGUACCUCUUGUGAGAAUUAAAUUGGAGGCUUAAAAUCCUUCAAUUAGUAACAGUAAGAAAUUAAUUAAAAUUUGGAGUUUUGUUGCAUACAAGUUGCCAGUCACCAGUACAGAAAUGACCUUUAGUCCUGGUUAGGAAACCUUGGGAAACCUCAAAGAGCUCGGUUUUCCCGACCGGGAUUAAGUAUUCGGGAUUUAGUCCUGUAACACCAUGUGCUUUGCCUUAUAAUGAAAGCCACUAAAAAUUCGAACUUCUAAAAUUUUCCUAUAAACUAAAAUGUGCCUUGCUAUUUCAUACCUCAAAACCCUUUCAAAAUAAAUUUUACAAAACAACCUUCAUCAAAAUUCACCAUAUGCAUUUUAUUGUGCUUGUUUGAGUGUUGUUUGCUUGUGUGCUUUGUUGAAUCUUUUGGUGGCAACCAACCCCUUGACCUCCUUUCCAAAUUUCCCACAAAUCCUUGUUAAACAUCCCUUCGAAUUCCUCAAAUCCAUUCAAACUCCAUUUCAAAUCUCUUCCAAAAUUAUUCAAACCAUUUCCUUGGGUGCAGGCUCAAUUUCCCUCUCCUCUCCUUUCGGCCUGGCGUGGCUUGCUUCUCCUUCUCCCUUUCAGCCCAGCUCGGCCCGCCCCUCCUCGCCUUCUUCUUUCCCGAGCAGGCCACCUCCUCCUCCUCCUUUACUUCCGCACGGCCCGGUCCAGCCCACAACGGCCGCCACCUCUCUCUUCCUCUCCGCACCAGCACCGCCCAUGAGAAUGGCCCGUGACGACCCGGCUCCCACUCCAUGUCAGCAUUGCGUCCGCACACAGCCGCUGAUGAGUAGGUCCCACUCAAUAGCGUCAUCCCCAACCUCGUGUCGUCUUCCCCAAUGCGUCUCGUUGCCGCCGCCUUGUCCCAUCUCCGCCCGUCGCCUAUGCCGUCGUGCCGGCCCCGAAGAAAUAUCUCGCCGCUCCAUCCCAUCAUGGCCCCACCUGUCAUCCCGCACGGUCCUAAAAGAUCUCCGCCGCCCGCUCCACGGACCUCUGUGCACAAUCGACCUCUCGCGGCUAUAAAAGCUGGCGAGCCCCGCCAUCGCUCCCCGCACCUCAAGCUCGAGCUCCCUCCCUCUUCUUCUGCUCGAGCUCGCCUCCUCCCUCUUUAGUCCUCUCCUCCCUCCACCGGAGCACGGCUUCCUCCGAAGCCACGCCUCGCCGAGCCCUGCCCUUCCCUCUUCCUGUCUAGCGCGCCACCGCACAGAACUGCCAGCCAAGCACUAGCGCCGCCACCGUGACAAACUCGAGGAGGACAAAGUGCCGAGCGACGUUGGAUCGGUAACAAGCGGCCCUGAUCUGCCUGAGCUAAUUCGCGUCCCACACCCGAUGACAAGUAGGCCCGAGUCUAACGCCGAAAAUGCCGUCUGUUGGUGACCAGUGGGCACCACAUCAGCAAGCAAGCUCCCAGACAUCACCAUGGCACUGGGAGGGUGCCUCGCAAGCACCACGCGGACACACCCGUAGCAAAUGACACGUCAUCAUGGGUCCACAUGUGAGUUACUGUGUGACACUGUGCGGUCAACAGUCAACACUGACCAGGGACACACCUGGAGUAACUGUGUCGACGGUAAAAUUACUACGCGUACUCAGGUUAGUGUACACGGAAGUCUCGUUUACCCCUUUCCUUGCACAAGCAAGCUCCCAGACAAAUUGUCACUCGCCAUGGCACUGGGAGGGUGCCUCGCAAGCGCCACGCGGACACACCCGUAGCAAAUGACACGUCAUCAUGGGCCCACAUGUGAGUUACUGUGUGACACUGUGCGGUCAAUAGUCAACACUGACCAGGGACACACCUGGAGUAACUGUGUCGACGGUAAAAUUACUACGCGUACUCAGGUUAGUGUACACGGAAGUCUCGUUUACCCCUUUCCUUGCACAGAAAAAUUUCCAAAAAAUUCCUAAAAAUACUAGAGCCACCCUAUAACCCAUCCAAACCUUUUGCACCCCAUUUCCAUCAUACAAAAUUAUGGGAAAAUAAAUUUCACCACUCAGGCACUCAUAAAUUCCAAUAAAUCACAUAAAUUCCCGAUAAAUUCCCAAAAAUCAUCUCUCCUGUCAAACUCCGUUUCUGUCAAUUCUUCCACCAAAAUUCUUCUAAAAUUAAAUCCUUGAUAUCCCUUCCGGUGCCACCAUUAGUUUCUUUGUUUGAUUCUUGAUUUGUUCAUGUAUUGCUCUUCGACCUGUUAGUCACUAACAUCACACAAACCCCUUAUGCUCAUGCAUGCAUAUACACUGUAGCAUGUAUACAACUAUAUGAGUAUACAUACACCCCCCUUCACACACCUACCACCGAUACUUUUUUUAUUUUUGUUUUUGCAAAAAAAAAAUCAAAACUAUUUAGUCCCAGUUGGUAAUACCAACAGGGACUAAAAGGGGCGGGAGGUAGCCACUGGCGCCGUGAUCGUUUUCUUCCGGUUGGUAUUACCAACUGGGACUAAAAGGGGAUAUUAUAUCCCGGUUUUGGGACCCGUGAUAAAAGACCCCCCUAUCUCGACAAGUUAAUCCUAGAUGCAUUUUCGGAAGAUAUGCACCCUACAAACCGGUACUAAUACCGAAUUUUCUAAUAGUGAAUGGUGCCGGUAGGCGUCCCCUUCAGCUGCAUUCUCUUCCAACCUGCAUACAAAGAGUCACUGGAGAUAGCGUGAUACAACCUCGGUUAGUCAGGCGAUCAAAUGAUAUAACCUCGAGUUAAUCUAGGCCGAAGCCAAUUAGCUUCCGUGUUUCUAUCUGAAGCUGGCAGAGUUAGCGCCUUGUCUGGGCGAGCUAAGACCCGGGUUAUAGGCGAAGGGGAUGAGUUUUGGACAGAUCCCCAACAUCUCGAAAAAUUAAUCUCGGUUGGGCAUUGGAGAGUUAUGCUCCUUCCCAACCGGGACUAAUAGUCAGUUUUCUACUACUGGUUGUGUAGAGGUGAGGAGGCGAGGGUUUUAGGUGAGGACGAUGAGGUGGCACCGCUCCCUUUCUCCGAUUCAACUGUCUCUAUAAAAUUGAUAUGGUUAGAUAUGUCAUAUUCUGUGGUACCACCUCGCGAUCACGAUGUGUGUGCCUCUAUAUAUGUUGUGCCAUUGCAGUCCAUUCGAUCGAGGGAGUACCAUAGCGUGACUGAACUACUGAAAAUGAAAAGCCUACACUUCUGCAACAACACAGUCUACCCCUAUGUUUACAACCUGACUUCCUCCUACAUCGACCAGAACAAUGAGGCCACCAUGGUGACCACCACCUUGGUCAUGUUUAUGCUGGCCGUGUUCGUCUUCAACCUCAACCUCUUCAGCCGCUUCUUGGACGUGAGCGCGAUUCUCAACCCUAGCGUCCGCCUCUUCCUCUCCACCUCCCUGUCCCUCUUCCUGCCGGUCAUGUCCUACCUCUUCUCCGAGGCCAAGAACCAAGGUGCAACGACGACCAUGGCUGCUAGUACUAGUAGCUCCAGUUAUGGCGAGCUCGGUGACGAGCUGUCACUUCGAGCUAGGACGAUCCUCAUGUGGAUGCUUCUUGUGGAGCUCCUACGCAAGAAGGUGGAGGCCGUCCUGGUCAACGUGGGCAUGCAGUGGUACUCAGGCGCCAUCGAUCGCUUCGCCCGCAUUGUUUGGCUCUGCUAGCUCGUCUUCUACAAUGUCAAAAGCCCCGGCAAGAAGGCGAUCUACGGCACCUUAUGGGUCCUCACUGCUGCCAAGUUCCUGCAAAGGGUCGUCGUCAAGAUGGUGCUGGAGCGUUCCUUCGCCUACGGAAGGAACACCCAGCUGCUCAACUCAUACAUGGCCCAGAUCAUCCAACAACAAGAGCAAGAGGAGCACUUGGGGUCAUCGUAGGCGGAGCUGUUGAAGAAGUGCGAGUACACCGUGAUGGGAGAAGACAACCUGGAGAGGACGGCUGGCCGGCAUGCAUGGCUACCAGGUCGAGCUGAACAAGGCAGCCGUUGUCACCGUUGGUGACAUUUGGACGCAGGCAGCAGCCGAGCCGGACAGCCUCCUCCGGAGAGAACACCUCAGAAGGCUCUGCCUCUCCUUUGUUCUCUACAAGCUGCUGCGCCGGAGGUUCGAGGACAUCCCCACAACAAGGGAGGAGACCCGGAACUGCCGGAACCUCAUCUUCAAGGGCAUGUUGAAGGAGGAGGCGGAGCAAGGUGCCGAGGUCGCACUGUUCCAGUCUUCAACGAUGAGACCCAGUUCGUUUGCGAGUACUACCAUUCCGUCCUACCCGUCGUCUUGUCCGACCCUUUCUUCUUCAUAGCCAACUACAUCUUGUUUCCCAUUGUAGUUUGUGCCUUCUGCCUCCUAAC
Molecule: long non-coding RNA, 32704 nt
Filed under: Setaria italica (foxtail millet)
Lineage: Eukaryota; Viridiplantae; Streptophyta; Magnoliopsida; Poales; Poaceae
Description: long non-coding RNA (SITA_LNC006308)
Source: RNAcentral